UACGGGGGGGGCAAGCGUUGUUCGGAAUUACUGGGCGUAAAGGGCGCGUAGGCGGCCAUCUAAGUCAGACGUGAAAUCCCCCGGCUUAACCUGGGAACUGCGUCUGAUACUGGACGGCUGGAGUUUGGGAGAGGGAUGUAGAAUUCCAGGUGUAGCGGUGAAAUGCGUAGAUAUCUGGAGGAAUACCGGUGGCGAAGGCGGCAUCCUGGACUAAUACUGACGCUGAGGCGCGAAAGCUAGGGGAGCAAACGGG
Molecule: ribosomal RNA, 253 nt
Filed under: uncultured bacterium
Lineage: Bacteria
Description: partial 16S ribosomal RNA
Rfam family: Bacterial small subunit ribosomal RNA
Source: RNAcentral